Molecule: microRNA precursor, 112 nt
Filed under: Gorilla gorilla (western gorilla)
Lineage: Eukaryota; Metazoa; Chordata; Mammalia; Primates; Hominidae
Also listed under: 1 other name
Description: microRNA ggo-mir-3943 precursor
Rfam family: mir-3943 microRNA precursor family (bases 5-88)
Source: miRBase by way of RNAcentral
CACAGACGGCAGCUGCGGCCUAGCCCCCAGGCUUCACUUGGCGUGGACAACUUGCUAAGUAAAGUGGGGGGUGGGCCACGGCUGGCUCCUACCUGGACAGGCCUCCAGCUAA